AGUGAACGCUGGCGGUAGGCCUAACACAUGCAAGUCGAACGGCAGCACAGUAAGAUCUUGCUCUUACGGGUGGCGAGUGGCGGACGGGUGAGGAAUACAUCGGAAUCUACUUUUUCGUGGGGGAUAACGUAGGGAAACUUACGCUAAUACCGCAUACGACCUACGGGUGAAAGCAGGGGAUCUUCGGACCUUGCGCGAUUGAAUGAGCCGAUGUCGGAUUAGCUAGUUGGCGGGGUAAAGGCCCACCAAGGCGACGAUCCGUAGCUGGUCUGAGAGGAUGGUCAGCCACACUGGAACUGAGACACGGUCCAGACUCCUACGGGAGGCAGCAGUGGGGAAUAUUGGACAAUGGGCGCAAGCAUGAUCCAGCCAUACCGCGUGGGUGACGAAGGCCUUCGGGUUGUAAAGACCUUUUGUUGGGAAAGAAAAGCAGCAGGUUAAUACCCAGCUGUUCUGACGGUACCCAAAGAAUAAGCACCGGCUAACUUCGUG
RNAcentral lists this ribosomal RNA (492 nucleotides) under uncultured bacterium. Its description in RNAcentral is "partial 16S ribosomal RNA". It matches the Rfam family "Bacterial small subunit ribosomal RNA", at positions 29 to 507 of the family's 1533-position model. The record is from RNAcentral.